GGUGCCUUCAUGUAUAAAAAGGAGGGGGUGUGUGCAUUAGGAAGCAUGAGAGGCUAAGAUGCAAUUUAGAGAAAAUUGCAACUUUGGGCCCAAAGGUUUGAAUAAUUAAAUUCAAACCUAUAGUUUUUUUUAAUAUAAUUUUGGGACUCACAAUCCCAUUUUUAUAUUAUUUUUCUCUCUUCCUCUCACGUUGCUCGGCGUUUUCUCGCAAGGGGGGAUUAUUUUCUUUUUUCUUCAGAUUAUAUUGACAAAGAUAGUGGUGAAAAAGGAGUUGUGAAGGGGAACUUGUUAUUCAAGACACAAGGAGCGAAUCCGGCCGAGAAAGCACCAGAGGUGUAAUUAUGGUGUAUGAGACACCAUCUUUUACGUUGCCUCUUAUUUUGGAUUAUACAAUGUAUCUUGUGCCAACUUAGGACAUAUCUUGUCUAUGGA
Prosopis cineraria is the source of this 432-nucleotide long non-coding RNA. RefSeq lists it as uncharacterized. NCBI's taxonomy places the organism in Eukaryota, Viridiplantae, Streptophyta, Magnoliopsida, Fabales, Fabaceae. The transcript has 3 exons. The record is from RefSeq and is a predicted model, not a curated record.